RNAcentral lists this transfer RNA (73 nucleotides) under Loxodonta africana (African savanna elephant). It matches the Rfam family "tRNA". From Rfam's summary of the family: Transfer RNA (tRNA) molecules are approximately 80 nucleotides in length. Their secondary structure includes four short double-helical elements and three loops (D, anti-codon, and T loops). Lineage: Eukaryota; Metazoa; Chordata; Mammalia; Proboscidea; Elephantidae. The record is from Rfam by way of RNAcentral.
GGGUCAGUGGUGCAACUGAUAACGUGUCUGACUAUGCAUCAGAAGAAUCCAGGUUCGACUCCUGGCUGGUUUA